This 497-nucleotide ribosomal RNA is filed under the name uncultured bacterium. RNAcentral describes it as "partial 16S ribosomal RNA". It matches the Rfam family "Bacterial small subunit ribosomal RNA", at positions 28 to 507 of the family's 1533-position model. The record is from RNAcentral.
GAUGAACGCUGGCGGCGUGCCUAAUACAUGCAAGUCGAGCGAACAGACGAGGAGCUUGCUCCUCUGACGUUAGCGGCGGACGGGUGAGUAACACGUGGAUAACCUACCUAUAAGACUGGGAUAACUUCGGGAAACCGGAGCUAAUACCGGAUAAUAUAUUGAACCGCAUGGUUCAAUAGUGAAAGACGGUUUUGCUGUCACUUAUAGAUGGAUCCGCGCCGCAUUAGCUAGUUGGUAAGGUAACGGCUUACCAAGGCAACGAUGCGUAGCCGACCUGAGAGGGUGAUCGGCAACACUGGAACUGAGACAGGGUCAAGACUACUACGGGAGGCAGCAGUAGGGAAUCUUCCGCAAUGGGAGAAAGCCUGACGGAGCAACGCCGCGUGAGUGAUGAAGGUCUUCGGAGCGUAAAACUCUGUUAUUAGGGAAGAACAAAUGUGUAAGUAACUAUGCACGUCUUGACGGUACCUAAUCAGAAAGCCACGGCUAACUACGUG